UACGUAGGUGGCAAGCGUUGUCCGGAAUUAUUGGGCGUAAAGCGCACGUAGGCGGCUUUCUAAGUCAGGGGUGAAAUCCUGGAGCUCAACUCCAGAACUGCCUUUGAUACUGGAGAGCUUGGGUCCGGGAGAGGUGAGUGGAACUCCGAGUGUAGAGGUGAAAUUCGUAGAUAUUCGGAAGAACACCAGUGGCGAAGGCGGCUCACUGGCCCGGUACUGACGCUGAGGUGCGAAAGCGUGGGGAGCAAACAGG
Molecule: ribosomal RNA, 253 nt
Filed under: uncultured bacterium
Lineage: Bacteria
Description: partial 16S ribosomal RNA
Rfam family: Bacterial small subunit ribosomal RNA
Source: RNAcentral